Molecule: ribosomal RNA, 492 nt
Filed under: uncultured bacterium
Lineage: Bacteria
Description: partial 16S ribosomal RNA
Rfam family: Bacterial small subunit ribosomal RNA
Source: RNAcentral
AGUGAACGCUGGCGGUAGGCCUAACACAUGCAAGUCGAACGGCAGCACAGUAAGAGCUUGCUCUUACGGGUGGCGAGUGGCGGACGGGUGAGGAAUACAUCGGAAUCUACUUUUUCGUGGGGGAUAACGUAGGGAAACUUACGCUAAUACCGCAUACGACCUACGGGUGAAAGCAGGGGAUCUUCGGACCUUGCGCGAUUGAAUGAGCCGAUGUCGGAUUAGCUAGUUGGCGGGGUAAAGGCCCACCAAGGCGACGAUCCGUAGCUGGUCUGAGAGGAUGAUCAGCCACACUGGAACUGAGACACGGUCAAGAUUCCUACGGGAGGCAGCAGUGGGGAAUAUUGGACAAUGGGCGCAAGCCUGAUCCAGCCAUACCGCGUGGGUGAAGAAGGCCUUCGGGUUGUAAAGCCCUUUUGUUGGGAAAGAAAAGCAGCAGGUUAAUACCACGCUGUUCUGACGGUACCCAAAGAAUAAGCACCGGCUAACUUCGUG